UUCCGGUUGAUCCUGCCGGAAGCCACUGCUAUUGGGGUCCGACUAAGCCAUGCAAGUCAACUGUUCUUCGCGACCAGGGCGGACGGCUCAGUAACACGUGGGCAACCUACCCUCAGGUCAGGGAUAACCCCGGGAAACUGGGGAUAAUACCUGAUAGGUAAAGACAUCUGGAAGGAGUCUUUGCCCAAAGCUCCGGCGCCUGAGGAUGGGCCUGCGGCCGAUUAAGUUGUUCGCGGUGUAACGGACCACCAAGCCUAAGAUCGGUACGGGCACUGGGAGGUGAAGCCCGGAGAUGGGGGCUGAGAAAAGGCCCCAGGCCUUACGGGGCGCAGCAGGCGCGAAAACUCCGCAAUACGCGCAAGCGUGACGGGGGGACCCCAAGUGUCAUGCCUUCGGGUAUGACUUUUGCAGAGUGUAUAAAGCUCUGCGAAUAAAAGCUGGGUAAGACCGGUGCCAGCCGCCGCGGUAACACCGGCAGCUUGAGUGGUGACCACUAUUAUUGGGCCUAAAGCGUCGUAGCCNGUUCUGUAAGUCCUUGGGUAAAUCCACCCGGUUAACGGUUGGCCUCCCAGGGACACUGCAGAACUUGGGAACGAGAGAAGUCGGAAGUACUCCGG
This 617-nucleotide ribosomal RNA is filed under the name uncultured archaeon. RNAcentral describes it as "bacterial SSU rRNA". It matches the Rfam family "Archaeal small subunit ribosomal RNA", at positions 1 to 623 of the family's 1478-position model. The record is from RNAcentral.